CGUGAGCGACGCUGAUAUAUAAACAGUGAGCGCAGGUGAUGGCGGCAGGCGUUCGUGGUCUGGCGGUGUGAUUGGAGCUGAAGCUGCGGGUGGUGGCGGCCUAACUUUCAGCCUGAUCAGCGGGUGGCUGUCUCUUUGGCGUUGCUAUCAUGAGAGCCAAGUGGCGUAAGAAGAGAAUGCGGAGGCUGAAGCGUAAGCGAAGAAAGAUGAGGCAGAGGUCCAAAUGAAAGCCCAGGCACAGCUGCUGUUUGUGGACGUUCUGGUUAUGAGCAGACUGAAGUUUCUUAACUACAGGAAAUCUAUUUAAUACUGUUCCCAACUACAAGCUGCUUUCAUAGCUACUGUUGUACACGUGCUUAAAUUUAUACAUAAACAAAUGUUCAGCUUUCAAUUUUAAACUUGUAACUGGCAUUUUAUAAAUAAAGACUUUGAAAUGUUUGCAGAAAA
Long non-coding RNA from Pseudophryne corroboree (corroboree frog), 447 nucleotides. RefSeq lists it as uncharacterized. Lineage: Eukaryota; Metazoa; Chordata; Amphibia; Anura; Myobatrachidae. The record is from RefSeq and is a predicted model, not a curated record. The transcript has 3 exons.